This 253-nucleotide ribosomal RNA is filed under the name uncultured bacterium. RNAcentral describes it as "partial 16S ribosomal RNA". It matches the Rfam family "Bacterial small subunit ribosomal RNA", at positions 524 to 776 of the family's 1533-position model. The record is from RNAcentral.
UACGUAGGGCGCAAGCGUUGUCCGGAAUUAUUGGGCGUAAAGAGCUCGUAGGCGGCCUGUUACGUCUGCUGUGAAAUCCCGGGGCUUAACCCCGGGCGUGCAGUGGAUACGGGCAGGCUGGAGGCAGGCAGGGGAGAACGGAAUUCCCGGUGUAGCGGUGAAAUGCGCAGAUAUCGGGAGGAACACCGGUGGCGAAGGCGGUUCUCUGGGCCUGUACUGACGCUGAGGAGCGAAAGCGUGGGGAGCGAACAGG